Salvelinus namaycush (lake trout) is the source of this 869-nucleotide long non-coding RNA. RefSeq lists it as uncharacterized. The record is from RefSeq and is a predicted model, not a curated record. Lineage: Eukaryota; Metazoa; Chordata; Actinopteri; Salmoniformes; Salmonidae. The transcript is spliced from 3 exons.
GGAUUCCUUCAGUCAGAAGUUACACGUUGAAAAGAUGCAGGAGUGCCAAAAAAAGAGCAAACAUAUGUUCUCUACAAGACGAAAUGAAAAGGACUGAAAAAGGAAACUUUAUAUAAAACAAAGGCACCAAGGACAUCUUAAAACAGUACCCAGCACUCCAUUUGUCAGCCAUUGUAAAGUCUAAUAGAAAUAAAUGGUAAAAAGCACAACUAAUGUAGCAUAGCCAAGUACUGUAAUCUGAAUCCAAGAUACAUUGAUGAUGCAUUAUAAACAAACUGACUUUCAGGUUCUCAGAGAUAAGAAGCAAAUUCAGUAUGGAUGUGGACAGGAACAUUCUGUCCGGAUUCGGGCACAAUGGCCGACAAAAUCAUUGCAGAAACGGAGGGAGAGGGGUGUGGCCGUGGAGUUGCUGAAUCUCUACAAGAUGGCACUUCUCUCCCACACGGAGGAGGCUCACAAAGGUCACUGCAGCCAUUUUGCUCCUCCCCUACCUCUUCAAAGAAAAUCCAAGUGGGCUGUACAUCUCAGACCAGUGUGUAAAGUUCCCAUCAUCUACCAUAAGAAUAGAGGGAAAAACUCUUUGCGAAUGAGAGCCACAUCCAACUCUUCCUGGAUGGAGAGGAGCUACUUACCGGUGGACCGAUCUCCAUGGGGAUGCAUUUCCUUUCUAAUAUUGAGUAUGCAGCAUCAGUGAAAAGAACAAUGCUGUUCAUUCAGACAUCUUCUGGGACUUGAUGAGGGGAUAAAUGAUCAACAAAUAUUGUAUGAAUGGCAAACUUUUUGCUGUAGUGCGAGAUAGGGGAGACCAGAGAUUCCUGUGAUGUCUGCAAGUGAUAUUUCUGUGACUUUUAAAGUAAAUAAAAUUUGUG